AUGCAGAUCUAUGCGAAAGUGACGAAAGGCAUUCAAAAGGUGCCCUUCCCACCGCAGAUUAACGCCUCUUGCAAGUCG
This 78-nucleotide ribosomal RNA is filed under the name Symbiodinium sp. CCMP2430. RNAcentral's name for it is "partial 5.8S ribosomal RNA". The record is from RNAcentral. Lineage: Eukaryota; Dinophyceae; Suessiales; Symbiodiniaceae.